This 280-nucleotide long non-coding RNA is filed under the name Elaeis guineensis (African oil palm). RNAcentral's name for it is "long non-coding RNA (EGUI_LNC048760)". The record is from RNAcentral. Lineage: Eukaryota; Viridiplantae; Streptophyta; Magnoliopsida; Arecales; Arecaceae.
CCUUGUGUGGGGUGUUUUGGAUGUGGUGAAGUAUGCAUAGAGGUUGUGAGUGAUUAAUAAGAGAUUAGUCACUCCUAAUAAAGGAAGCAAAUAUCUUAUGUGAUCUCAUAGAUCGAUGAUUCUGAAAGUCUUUGACCAAAAUAGGAUGAUAAUUAGAAAAAAACUUUUAAUGUAUCAUCAACUAAAUUAUCAUCUUCAAAUCGAGAUACAUAAUGAUAAGUAAUUGAAUUUGAUAUAUUUUUAUAUCCAUAGCUCAUCUGAGAUAUUGUUUGACUGAAGG